AUUGAACGCUGGCGGCAUGCUUUACACAUGCAAGUCGAACGGUAACAGGCCUUCGGGUGCUGACGAGUGGCGAACGGGUGAGUAAUGCAUCGGAACGUACCCAGAGGUGGGGGAUAACGCAGCGAAAGCUGUGCUAAUACCGCAUGUGAUCUGAGGAUGAAAGCGGGGGACCGAGCAGCAAUGUUUGGCCUCGCGCCUUUGGAGCGGCCGAUGUCGGAUUAGCUAGUUGGUGGGGUAAAGGCCUACCAAGGCGACGAUCCGUAGCUGGUCUGAGAGUACGACCAGCCACACUGGGACUGAGACACGGCCCAGACUCCUACGGGAGGCAGCAGUGGGGAAUUUUGGACAAUGGGCGCAAGCCUGAUCCAGCAAUGCCGCGUGCGGGAAGAAGGCCUUCGGGUUGUAAACCGCUUUUGGCAGGAACGAAACGGUGUCCGCUAAUACCGGGCGCUAAUGACGGUACCUGCAGAAUAAGCACCGGCUAACUACGUG
RNAcentral lists this ribosomal RNA (492 nucleotides) under uncultured bacterium. RNAcentral describes it as "partial 16S ribosomal RNA". It matches the Rfam family "Bacterial small subunit ribosomal RNA", at positions 30 to 507 of the family's 1533-position model. The record is from RNAcentral.